GAUGAACGCUGGCGGCGUGCUUAACACAUGCAAGUCGAACGGAAAGGCCAGUGCUUGCCCUGGUACUCGAGUGGCGAACGGGUGAGUAACACGUGGGUGAUCUGCCCUGCACUUCGGGAUAAGCCUGGGAAACUGGGUCUAAUACCGGAUAGGACAAUGGUUUGGAUGCCGUUGUGGAAAGUUUUUUCGGUGUGGGAUGAGCUCGCGGCCUAUCAGCUUGUUGGUGGGGUAAUGGCCUACCAAGGCGUCGACGGGUAGCCGGCCUGAGAGGGUGUACGGCCGCAUUGGGACUGAGAUACAGGCCGGACUCCUACGGGAGGCAGCAGUGGGGAAUAUUGCACAAUGGGCGCAAGCCUGAUGCAGCGACGCCGCGUGGGGGAUGACGGCCUUCGGGUUGUAGACUCCUUUCGCUAGGGACGAAGCGUAUUUGUGACGGUACCUGGAGAAGAAGCACCGGCUAACUACGUG
Molecule: ribosomal RNA, 468 nt
Filed under: uncultured bacterium
Lineage: Bacteria
Description: partial 16S ribosomal RNA
Rfam family: Bacterial small subunit ribosomal RNA
Source: RNAcentral